CUUUUCUUCAUGGCCGUAUGUAGCAAGGGAACACCAUGGCUAGGGUUUGUUCAUCUUCCAAGCUUCAUGAUCAAGAAAGAAGUGGAAUCGACCUUGACCGGAGAAAAGGAAAGAUUAAAGACUAAAUUGCUAAAUUUUUAUAUUAUUGCAUCAAAGUAAGUUACGUGUAAAUAAUAGUUAUAUUUUUAUAAAUUGUGAAUUAUAUUUGAUAUGUGAAUUAAUAUUGAAUGUGGAAGGAAAAUUGUUCAUGAA
This is a long non-coding RNA of Gossypium raimondii (Peruvian cotton), 252 nucleotides long. RefSeq lists it as uncharacterized. The transcript is spliced from 2 exons. The record is from RefSeq and is a predicted model, not a curated record. NCBI's taxonomy places the organism in Eukaryota, Viridiplantae, Streptophyta, Magnoliopsida, Malvales, Malvaceae.